GGGUUGUGAGGUUAAGCGAAUAAGCGUACACGGUGGAUGCCCUGGCAGUCAGAGGCGAUGAAGGACGUGCUAAUCUGCGAAAAGCGCCGGUAAGGUGAUAUGAACCGAUACAGCCGGCGAUGUCCGAAUGGGGAAACCCGGUGCACUCAGUGCAUCAUCGCAACAUGAAUACAUAGUGUUGCGAGGCGAACCGGGGGAACUGAAACAUCUAAGUACCCCGAGGAAAAGAAAUCAACCGAGAUUCCCCCAGUAGCGGCGAGCGAACGGGGAGCAGCCCUGAACCAUCAUCAGUGUGUGUGUUAGUGGAAGCGUCCGGAAUGGCGCACGAUACAGGGUGAAAGUCCCGUACAUGAAAAUGCACAUACUGUGAGUUCGAAGAGUAGGGCGGGACACGUGGUAUCCUGUCUGAAUAUGGGGGGACCAUCCUCCAAGGCUAAAUACUCCUGACUGACCGAUAGUGAACCAGUACCGUGAGGGAAAGGCGAAAAGAACCCCGGCGAGGGGAGUGAAAAGAACCUGAAACCGUGUACGUACAAGCAGUGGGAGCACCCUUUGGGGUGUGACUGCGUACCUUUUGUAUAAUGGGUCAGCGACUUAUAUUCUGUAGCAAGGUUAACCGUAUAGGGGAGCCGCAGGGAAACCGAGUCUUAACUGGGCGUUAAGUUGCAGGGUAUAGACCCGAAACCCGGUGAUCUAGCCAUGGGCAGGUUGAAGGUUGGGUAACACUAACUGGAGGACCGAACCGACUAAUGUUGAAAAAUUAGCGGAUGACCUGUGGCUGGGGGUGAAAGGCCAAUCAAACCGGGAGAUAGCUGGUUCUCCCCGAAAGCUAUUUAGGUAGCGCCUCGUGAACUCAUCUCCGGGGGUAGAGCACUGUUUCGGCUAGGGGGCCAUCCCGGCUUACCAACCCGAUGCAAACUGCGAAUACCGGAGAAUGUUAUCACGGGAGACACACGGCGGGUGCUAACGUCCGUCGUGAAGAGGGAAACAACCCAGACCGCCAGCUAAGGUCCCAAAGUCAUGGUUAAGUGGGAAACGAUGUGGGAAGGCUCAGACAGCCAGGAUGUUGGCUUAGAAGCAGCCAUCAUUUAAAGAAAGCGUAAUAGCUCACUGGUCGAGUCGGCCUGCGCGGAAGAUGUAACGGGGCUAAACCAUGCACCGAAGCUGCGGCAGCGACACUAUGUGUUGUUGGGUAGGGGAGCGUUCUGUAAGCCGUUGAAGGUGGACUGUGAGGUCUGCUGGAGGUAUCAGAAGUGCGAAUGCUGACAUAAGUAACGAUAAAGCGGGUGAAAAGCCCGCUCGCCGGAAGACCAAGGGUUCCUGUCCAACGUUAAUCGGGGCAGGGUGAGUCGACCCCUAAGGCGAGGCUGAAAAGCGUAGUCGAUGGGAAACAGGUUAAUAUUCCUGUACUUGGUGUUACUGCGAAGGGGGGACGGAGAAGGCUAUGUCAUCCGGGCGACGGUUGUCCCGGUUUAAGCGUGUAGGCUGAGAUUCCAGGCAAAUCCGGAAUCUCUUAAGGCUGAGGCGUGAUGACGAGGUGCUACGGCACUGAAGUGACAAAUGCCCUGCUUCCGGGAAAAGCCUCUAAGCUCCAGGUAACACGAAAUCGUACCCCAAACCGACACAGGUGGUCAGGUAGAGAAUACCAAGGCGCUUGAGAGAACUCGGGUGAAGGAACUAGGCAAAAUGGUGCCGUAACUUCGGGAGAAGGCACGCUGGCGCGUAGGUGAAGGGACUUGCUCCCGGAGCUGAAGCCAGUCGAAGAUACCAGCUGGCUGCAACUGUUUAUUAAAAACACAGCACUGUGCAAACACGAAAGUGGACGUAUACGGUGUGACGCCUGCCCGGUGCCGGAAGGUUAAUUGAUGGGGUUAUCGCUCUGCGAGAAGCUCCUGAUCGAAGCCCCGGUAAACGGCGGCCGUAACUAUAACGGUCCUAAGGUAGCGAAAUUCCUUGUCGGGUAAGUUCCGACCUGCACGAAUGGCGUAAUGAUGGCCAGGCUGUCUCCACCCGAGACUCAGUGAAAUUGAAAUCGCUGUGAAGAUGCAGUGUACCCGCGGCAAGACGGAAAGACCCCGUGAACCUUUACUAUAGCUUGACACUGAAUAUUGAGCCUUGAUGUGCAGGAUAGGUGGGAGGCACUGAAGUACGGACGCCAGUUCGUACGGAGCCAUCCUUGAAAUACCACCCUUUAAUGUUUGAUAUUCUAACGUGGACCCGUUAUCCGGGUUGCGGACAGUGUCUGGUGGGUAGUUUGACUGGGGCGGUCUCCUCCCAAAGAGUAACGGAGGAGCACGAAGGUUAGCUAAUCACGGUCGGACAUCGUGAGGUUAGUGCAAAGGCAUAAGCUAGCUUGACUGCGAGAGUGACGGUUCGAGCAGGUGCGAAAGCAGGUCUUAGUGAUCCGGUGGUUCUGAAUGGAAGGGCCAUCGCUCAACGGAUAAAAGGUACUCCGGGGAUAACAGGCUGAUACCGCCCAAGAGUUCAUAUCGACGGCGGUGUUUGGCACCUCGAUGUCGGCUCAUCACAUCCUGGGGCUGAAGUAGGUCCCAAGGGUACGGCUGUUCGCCGUUUAAAGUGGUACGCGAGCUGGGUUUAGAACGUCGUGAGACAGUUCGGUCCCUAUCUGCCGUGGGCGCUGGAGAAUUGAGGGGGGUUGCUCCUAGUACGAGAGGACCGGAGUGAACGCACCACUGGUGUUCGGGUUGUCAUGCCAAUGGCAUUGCCCGGUAGCUAAGUGCGGAAAAGAUAAGUGCUGAAAGCAUCUAAGCACGAAACUUGCCCCGAGAUGAGUUCUCCCUGACCCUUUAAGGGUCCUGAAGGGACGUUGAAGACGACGACGUUGAUAGGCCGGAUGUGUAAGUGCAGCGAUGCAUUGAGCUAACCGGUACUAAUGACCCGUGAGGCUUAACCUUACAACGCCAGAGGCGUUUUG
This 2935-nucleotide ribosomal RNA is filed under the name Tatumella morbirosei. RNAcentral describes it as "bacterial LSU rRNA". It matches the Rfam family "Bacterial large subunit ribosomal RNA". Lineage: Bacteria; Pseudomonadati; Pseudomonadota; Gammaproteobacteria; Enterobacterales; Erwiniaceae. The record is from RNAcentral.